GAAUGCUUAGUUUUCCUUUAAUUAUGACAGCUUUGUUUGGAAUACUAUUCUGGGUUGGCAGUUGUUGCCUUUCAGAACUUGGAAUACAUCAUUCUGAGCCCUCUGAUUAGACGGUUUCAUUGGAGUAAUCUGUUAUAUUCUGUGCCUCUCCCUGGUGACUAAGCAUCCAGACCUGUGAGCCUGUGCGGGCCAUACUCACUGAAACCACCACAGGAGCCACGUUUAAGUACGGAGAGACCUGCUGGCACAGCUGGCUCUCAGGAAGUCAUCCAGUAUUCUAACUGAGCUGUCAUCCCUACUGUCAGAUGGUGAAAGCCACCUGUCAUUCGGCAUCCCAUCAAGUUAAACCCUGGGCAAGGCACCACAGAUUCCUUAUGAUGGCCCUGAGCUUUGGGAGUCUCCUGAUGGACAAACACAGUGGCAAGCCUCGGCAGAGGGACAAGGCGGACGUCUGAGAGCUGAGGACAGACCCUAGAGAAGAAACCACUCCCACUGACACCAUGACUGAACUUCCUGUCACUGUAAGGAAGCUAUUUUUAGCCACAUA
This is a long non-coding RNA of Mesocricetus auratus (golden hamster), 547 nucleotides long. RefSeq lists it as uncharacterized. The transcript is spliced from 3 exons. Lineage: Eukaryota; Metazoa; Chordata; Mammalia; Rodentia; Cricetidae. The record is from RefSeq and is a predicted model, not a curated record.